CUAGCUGUAAACGAUGUAGACUAGGCGUUGGUGGAGUAAAAUCCAUCAGUGCCGGAGCAAACGCGAUAAGUCUACCGCCUGGGGACUACGGCCGCAAGGUUAAAACUCAAAGGAAUUGACGGGGCCCCGCACAAGCAGCGGAGCGUGUGGUUUAAUUCGAUGCUACACGAAGAACCUUACCAGGGUUUGACAUACAAGUGGUAGAGAAGUGAAAACGGAUCGACCCCUCGGGGAGCUUGUACAGGUGC
Molecule: ribosomal RNA, 248 nt
Filed under: uncultured Anaerolineaceae bacterium
Lineage: Bacteria; Bacillati; Chloroflexota; Anaerolineae; Anaerolineales; Anaerolineaceae
Description: partial 16S ribosomal RNA
Rfam family: Bacterial small subunit ribosomal RNA
Source: RNAcentral